RNAcentral lists this transfer RNA (73 nucleotides) under Melioribacteraceae bacterium. RNAcentral's name for it is "tRNA-Gly". It matches the Rfam family "tRNA". From Rfam's summary of the family: Transfer RNA (tRNA) molecules are approximately 80 nucleotides in length. Their secondary structure includes four short double-helical elements and three loops (D, anti-codon, and T loops). The record is from RNAcentral. Lineage: Bacteria; Pseudomonadati; Ignavibacteriota; Ignavibacteria; Ignavibacteriales; Melioribacteraceae.
GCGGGUGUAACUCAGUUGGUAGAGUAUCAGCUUCCCAAGCUGGCUGUCGCGGGUUCGAGUCCCGUCACCCGCU